AAAAGACUUAGUCCUAACCUUACCAUUGGUUCUUACUGGGCUUAUACAUGCAAGUAUCUGCGCCCCGGUGUAAAUGCCCUCGACCUCUUACCAAGAUAAGAGGAGCAGGUAUCAGGUACGCUUAAAUGCAGCCCAGGACACCUUGCUUGGCCACGCCCCCACGGGUCUUCAGCAGUAAUUAACAUUAAGCAAUAAGCGAAAGCUUGACUUAGCCACAGUAGUAUCAGGGCUGGUAAAUCUUGUGCCAGCCACCGCGGCCACACAAGAAGCCCAAAUCAAUUGUAUUCGGCGUAAAGAGUGGUCUAAACACUGUCCCCCAACUGGGGCCAAAUUGCAACUGAGCUGUCAUAAGCCAAAGAUGCACUAAAGCCCAAUAUAAAUAUAACCCCAGCACCGCAGACUGAUAAACCCCACGAAAGCCAGGAAACAAACUGGGAUUAGAUACCCCACUAUGCCCGGCCGUAAAUCUUGAUGUUUCAAACACCAAAACAUCCGCCUGGGAACUACGAGCACAAACGCUUAAAACCCUAAGGACUUGGCGGUGUCCCAAACCCCCCUAGAGGAGCCUGUUCUGUAAUCGAUAAUCCACGCUUCACCCAACCCCUCCUUGCCAAAGCAGCCUACAUACCGCCGUCGUCAGCUCACCCUACACUGAGGGAUAAAUAGUGAGCACAAUAAUACCCCCCCCCCAUUAAUAAGACAGGUCAAGGUAUAGCCCAUGGAGGGGAAGAAAUGGGCUACAUUAUCUAAUAUAGAUCAUUUAACGGAAAGGGGCUUGAAACUUGCCCCUAGAAGGAGGAUUUAGCAGUAAAACAUGAUAAUCAAGCAUGCUUUAAGCUGGCCCUGGGACACGUACAUACCGCCCGUCACCCUCCUCACAAGCCACAACCCAAAAUAACCUUAAACCCUCUUCCCCUGGCUAGAGACGAGGUAAGUCGUAACAAGGUAAGUGUACCGGAAGGUGCACUUAGUCAACC
RNAcentral lists this non-coding RNA (977 nucleotides) under Tricholaema leucomelas (pied barbet). RNAcentral describes it as "12S ribosomal RNA". It matches the Rfam family "Bacterial small subunit ribosomal RNA". The record is from RNAcentral. Lineage: Eukaryota; Metazoa; Chordata; Aves; Piciformes; Lybiidae.